This 699-nucleotide ribosomal RNA is filed under the name uncultured bacterium. Its description in RNAcentral is "bacterial SSU rRNA". It matches the Rfam family "Bacterial small subunit ribosomal RNA", at positions 140 to 826 of the family's 1533-position model. The record is from RNAcentral.
GGGAUAACACUUGGAAACAGGUGCUAAUACCGUAUAACACUAUUUUCCGCAUGGAAGAAAGUUGAAAGGCGCUUUUGCGUCACUGAUGGAUGGACCCGCGGUGCAUUAGCUAGUUGGUGAGGUAACGGCUCACCAAGGCCACGAUGCAUAGCCGACCUGAGAGGGUGAUCGGCCACACUGGGACUGAGACACGGCCCAGACUCCUACGGGAGGCAGCAGUAGGGAAUCUUCGGCAAUGGACGAAAGUCUGACCGAGCAACGCCGUGUGAGUGAAGAAGGUUUUCGGAUCGUAAAACUCUGUUGUUAGAGAAGAACAAGGAUGAGAGUAAAAUGUUCAUCCCUUGACGGUAUCUAACCAGAAAGCCACGGCUAACUACGUGCCAGCAGCCGCGGUAAUACGUAGGUGGCAAGCGUUGUCCGGAUUUAUUGGGCGUAAAGCGAGCGCAGGCGGUUUCUUAAGUCUGAUGUGAAAGCCCCCGGCUCAACCGGGGAGGGUCAUUGGAAACUGGGAGACUUGAGUGCAGAAGAGGAGAGUGGAAUUCCAUGUGUAGCGGUGAAAUGCGUAGAUAUAUGGAGGAACACCAGUGGCGAAGGCGGCUCUCUGGUCUGUAACUGACGCUGAGGCUCGAAAGCGUGGGGAGCGAACAGGAUUAGAUACCCUGGUAGUCCACGCCGUAAACGAUGAGUAUAGAGUGUUGG